UACACAGAGCUUUCUGAUGGAUAGCUUUACUUUUUGCUAAACCGCUAAGUGUAGCUGUAGUGUAUCUGUCUGUAUCUGUGGCUAGUUAGCUCGGUCAGCUAGCCGUGCAGCCAGCGGUUCUAUUAACGUACUCAGUCCCGGGGUGCCAAGAGCCAAACCCUGCAAGAAAACCACCUCGGUACUGUAUUCCCAGCGGUCAAAGUGGCCUCUGUCGGUCUCGGAAGCUGCCGUAUCCAAUCACUGAGAGCUGGAACCAGUCCUCACAGAGUCUACAUGACGGGGUGGGGGUGUAAACACACAUUCGUCGCUACUGGCGACUGUAUCCCUCCCUAGCUUUGUGUGCAAACUGUCUAUCAGUUAAGCCUAUUUAUGCAUCCAGCAGAUACAGAGCAAAAUUAGCAUUUAUUUGGUUGUGUAUCAGGCAGAUAUUUUGUCUUAAUAUUACUCUUAAUGAUCACUCAGUCAAAUAAUUAUUUCUUUUAGAUCUGAUUUGGUCUACUCCUGAGGAAGAAUAUUUGUCUCUUUAGCUUCUAAAUGCUCCACUACGUUCACCAUUGCCUGUCAGCUGUUUGGUGCUGGACAGGUAGCAUUGUCUUUUUUGUGCUGAAAACAGCUGCUUGCUGUGGCUCGAAACAAGGUCAAUCAGAGUGGUAAGACCAAAACAGUAAAGUUGUGGCCAGAAAAGCAAAACAAUGAGCUAAAAGAUGUUUAAACACUCCGUAGUGUUGUGAUCGUUUUCUGUGGGGUCAUUACCAAAAGUGACCCUUUUCACACCACACACCACACAUUUGAGACUUAAAAAAUUAUGCCGCUUUAAGAACUAGCAUUAGCAUCACCAGAUUAACCGGAUUAAUACAGUACAUCACAUACAGUAUCUUUAACAUUUUUAGAAUUCAAGAACAUUCCUGAGCAGUGGCCUCACCUCCACAUUGAAGCAGAGUGAAAGGUGAGUUCAGGUUUGAGAUGUUGUGGAAAGCUGCCCUCAAAAACAGGAUGCGGGCAGAGUUGAAGAACUGUCCGGGCCUUGGGUUGCUGAUUGUCUCAUCUGUCUUGGCUAAGUCAGCAGGAUGUGACAGCCGCCCUCUCUCCGUUACCCGCUGACCACUGGGCUUGGCAUCCUCUCCACUCACCUGUCCUAUCACCGCCUCCACCGUAUCUCUAUCCUCGCCUCACUCUCACCUCAAAGUCUUUGCAGCAAGAAUGAAGCUCAACGCCUUGGUGUCAAAGUGGAGAGAUGUAGGCUAACAAUUUCUGACUGCGGACUUACGAGUAUUGGUUCCUGGUGCUGACUUCGGUUUGUUGGUUUUUGAUAAUGCUCCCAGUCUGACAAGGUGAUAAACCUUCACUUUAAACGUAAGUGACUAAUCAGGUAAAUUUCCUUUUUGUUCACAGAGAAGGCAGGUUUUUCAGGAAGUAAUAGUUUUGGUGAAAACUUUUUAUUUGUGUGUGUAUGAUUGCAUACAUUGCAUAGCCACAUAGUAUAAAAUAGUAUAACAUUUACUUAUGCUUUUGUUUAUUAAGUUUUGCUGAAUAUGCAUGUUGAAGAUAGGGCUUCCUCUUUAUCCUGACUGAGCUGUAAAUCAUCAUUGUCACAGUGAUUGUCUUUCAGGUUGCUCAGUUCACUGUGUCUUCCUGUCUGUGUCUGUCACUCCUGGAGGAACUGUACAUCAUGCAGUAUACAUGCCUGCCUGUACUGCUCUCUUUUUUUUCAACGCAGGAUGUCAAAAUAAUAUUAUGGUGUGUCAUGUGUGAUUACUGUUUAACAAGAAAAAUCAUUUUUAGGAAGGUUUGUCAUAUGCAUGUAUCAGCUAAUAUUACAAUAUGUGUUAGAUUUUAUCGGAAUGUGGUCUAUCAAUUUUGACAAACACAAGCAUCUGCUGGUACUUGCUGUAUAUUUCCAAUUAGGCAUUACAGCGCCGAGAUUAUUAUGGUUAGGAGCUCAAUUAUAUUAUGAGCAACAUAAAAGUAGCAAAUUGUCUUUGAAAACCAAAUUCAAAGGGAGAUUUGAUAUUCUGCAUCUUAAGACCUCAAGUUCUGAUUAUUAGUAUUUUUGUGUGUCUUUCAUAACAGCUCCUUUUUACUCACUGCUCACCACAGUCCUGAUCCCAGACUUGAAACAGCGACAAAACCCAGCUCGUCAGGGAUAACAGAUGAGCAUAGAUGAACAGUGUCAGGAGGAGGCCACGCAUGUGACUGGAGCAGUGUGUCAUGACAAGUUGCCAUGUUGUGAAAUCCAAAUCUGUGAAGGGAGAGAAGUGAAUUGGUCCAUCAGCUUUCCAACAACAACAGACAGUGAAUGGCAAGGUAAGUACAGCACAGACUUGGUUAGCUCGCUGAUUAGAUGACAAGCUGUAAGGUUCGGUCAAUCAAGUACGCUUCAGAACUGCUCAUUUAAGGCUCUCGGUUAGAAAUGACGUUCUCAGCUAUCCCCAUAGGAGAGCACAAAUCCAAGAAGAGAUCUCAUGUUUCUAUCUUUUCCUUUUCCUUGUUGUACCACAUAGAUGAGACCAGGGAAUUUAUCUAACUUGUCAAAUUCAGCAGAAGAAAACAACUACAAACAUAUAUUUAUAAAAAUGAAGAAAAACAUUUAAUAUUAUGCUAUUAGUUUCAGUACAAUCUGUUCUCUUGUAUGUAUUUCUCAGUAAGUGUUAAAUAAGGAUUUUUAGUUGGUUUUAUUGUGCCGUUGACAUAAUUCAUUUUAAUAUAAUUCAUUGGUGUGUUAAGGAUGAAAUGAUGUCAGAGCAGCAGGUGGUGUUCUAACAUCUUCUCAUCGCAGAAUGAUAUUUCUUUCAGUCAUUCUGUGGCAAACAUAUUGCGGCACUAAAGUCCAUCAGCACCAAUGUUGAUUUUAUUGUUGUGCUGAUAUAAUUAAUGUUGAUAUCAUUAUCUUA
Micropterus dolomieu (smallmouth bass) is the source of this 2891-nucleotide long non-coding RNA. RefSeq lists it as uncharacterized. The transcript has 3 exons. NCBI's taxonomy places the organism in Eukaryota, Metazoa, Chordata, Actinopteri, Centrarchiformes, Centrarchidae. The record is from RefSeq and is a predicted model, not a curated record.